RNAcentral lists this ribosomal RNA (253 nucleotides) under uncultured bacterium. Its description in RNAcentral is "partial 16S ribosomal RNA". It matches the Rfam family "Bacterial small subunit ribosomal RNA", at positions 524 to 776 of the family's 1533-position model. The record is from RNAcentral.
GACAGAGGGUGCUAGCGUUGUUCGGAAUUACUGGGCGUAAAGGGCGCGUAGGCGGCCCGUUUAGUCGGGUGUGAAGUCCCGGGGCUCAACCCCGGAACUGCACUCGAUACUGGCGGGCUUGAGACCGGAAGAGGUGGGUGGAAUACCCAGUGUAGAGGUGAAAUUCGUAGAUAUUGGGUGGAACACCGGUGGCGAAGGCGGCUCACUGGUCCGGUUCUGACGCUGAGGCGCGAAAGCGUGGGGAGCAAACAGG